ACAAUCAGUAUGUUCAUUAUUUUGAAUUGUCUAAAUGGCAGAAAUGUUUCUUUUUGUAUUUAGGGCUUGUCUGAGUCUCCAGACCUUGAGUUUGAAUAUGCUAAUACAGAUAAAUGGGCUGCAGAGCUGUCGGAGCUGUACAGUUAUACUGAAGGGCCAGAGUUCUCCCUCAAUAGAAAAUGUUUUGAGGAGGAAUUCAGAACACAUGUGUGUGAUAAGAAGUGGACAGAGCUUGAUGCACCUCAUCACAGGGCCCAUGCCAUGCGGAUGCUGGAUGGACUGGAGGUGACUGCUCGCGAGAAAAGGCUAAAGGUUGCGAGAGCCAUUCUGUACAUGGUGCAAGGAACCUUCGGCGAGUGUAGUUCUGAGGUCGAAGUGCAGCAUUGGAUGAGAUACAACACCUUCCUGCUGCUGGAAGCUGGAACUUUUUCUGCUCUGGUGGAACUGCUCAACAUGGAAAUUGAUAACAGUGCCGCCUGUAGCAGUGCUGUCAGAAAACCAGCCAUCUCUCUUGCUGAUAGCACAGAUCUCAGGGUGCUGCUCAACAUCAUGUACCUGAUGGUAGAAACCAUCCAGCAGGACGACCCAGCUGACAUGGCCGAAUGGAGAGUUAUCAGGGAAACCUUUCGAGCGGAACUGGGUUCUCCUCUAUACAACAAUGAGCCUAUCGCAGUGAUGCUCUUCGGGAUGGUUACCAAGUUCUGCAGUGGCCAUGCGCCUCACUUCCCUAUGAAGAAAGUCUUACUGCUGUUGUGGAAGAGCAUACUGUUCACACUCGGAGGGUUUGAGCAGCUCCAAACCAUAAAGGUCCAUAAGCGUGAGAAGCUGGGUCUUCCCCCUCUGCCAGAAGACAGUAUUCGGGUUGUACGCAGUAUGAGGGCCGCUUCCCCUCCCGCCUCCGCCUCUGAUCUCAUAGAGCAGCAACAAAAACGGGCGCGGCGUGAACAUAAGGCACUGAUUAAACAGGACAAUCUUGAUGCAUUCAACGAAAAAGACCCUUACAAGACCGAUGAUCCCCGAGAGGAUGAGGAUGACAACGACGACAAUGACAAUUCAAUCGAGGCCGAGACUUUCCCCUUGGAAAGGGACGAGGUGAUGCCUCCACCUAUUCCUCAUCCUCCAUCAGAGAGGGUGUCCUUCCCCAAAGGGUUGCCGUGGGCCCCCAAAGUCAGGGAGAAGGACAUUGAAAAUUUCCUGGAGUCAAGUAGAAGCAAGUUUAUAGGUUACACACUUGGAUGUGACACAGACACGGUUGUUGGCCUACCUCGACCUAUUCAUGAGAGCAUCAAGACACUAAAGCAGCAUAAAUACGUCUCGAUAGCCGAGAUUCAGAUCGCAAGAGAGGAAGAGUUUCAGAAAACCCCUCUAUCAGGGGGAGAAGAAGAAGUGGAGAUGUGUGCCACUGAGCUGCUCUAUCAGGGAAUCCUACCCACAUUACCUCAGUACAUGAUCGCUCUGUUAAAGAUUCUUCUUGCGGCAGCUCCCACCUCCAAAGCCAAAACGGAUUCAAUCAACAUCCUGGCAGACGUGCUGCCGGAAGAGAUGCCGACCACUGUGUUACAGAGCAUGAAACUCGGUGUUGACGUCAAUCGACACAAAGAGAUCAUUGUGAAGGCCAUCUCCGCCAUCCUGCUGCUGCUCCUCAAACACUUCAAACUUAACCACAUCUACCAGUUUGAGUACAUGGCUCAACACCUGGUGUUUGCCAACUGCAUCCCCCUCAUUUUGAAGUUCUUCAAUCAGAACAUAAUGUCUUACAUCACGGCUAAGAACAGCAUCUCAGUGCUGGACUUUCCAUACUGCGUGGUGCAUGAGCUUCCUGAAUUAACAGCAGAGAGUCUGGAAGCGGGAGACAACAACCAGUUUUGCUGGCGAAACCUGUUUUCCUGCAUUAACCUGCUGAGAAUCCUCAAUAAACUGACCAAGUGGAAGCACUCCAGAACGAUGAUGCUGGUAGUGUUCAAGUCCGCUCCAAUCCUGAAGAGGGCGCUAAAGGUGAAACAAGCAAUGAUGCAGCUUUACGUCCUCAAGCUCCUCAAAGUGCAGACCAAAUAUCUUGGGCGUCAGUGGCGGAAGAGCAACAUGAAGACUAUGUCGGCCAUUUACCAGAAGGUCCGACAUCGGCUCAAUGACGACUGGGCUUACGGAAACGAUCUGGAUGCCCGUCCCUGGGAUUUUCAGGCCGAGGAAUGUGCCCUGCGUGCCAACAUCGAACGCUUUAACAGUCGCCGCUAUGACAAAAAUCAGAGCAACCCGGACUUCCUUCCAGUGGACAACUGCCUGCAAAGCGUUCUGGGGCAGCGGGUUGACCUGCCCGAAGACUUCCAAAUGAAUUACGACCUCUGGCUGGAACGAGAGGUCUUCUCCAAACCAAUUUCAUGGGAGGAGCUGCUGCAGUAAGAAAUGGUCAACAUCCUUGAUCUUUUAUCAUGGAUCAGACUCUUUUUGAGUGUGGCGUUCAGUUCUUGCAUACCACCUAUUGCCUCUGGGACAAAGCGGCACUCAUACACCCAAAGGAUGUAACUAAUGCAGCCUCAGUUGCUUUGUUUUGCAGAAACAUGUCAUUUUCAUUUAAUGGCUAUAUACAGUAGAAAAUGCAUGUUAUUGCUUUUAGGUUAGUUGCAUCACUUAAAGAAACAAAAAAUAUAUUUAAAAAAAUCUCCUGGUCUACAAUUUUUUUUCCUGUAUCUACUUGCGAUCUGAUUUUGUUAUUUUAUUAGAAAUGGAAAAAUGGAACAUCAUGGUUCUAUUUUACUUCACAUAAACCUCAAUAUUCUAAAAUCCUACUGUCAAUCUUGCUGAAUUUUCUUACUAUUAAUAAACCAACAAAUAUUUACAUAAUA
Hippocampus zosterae (dwarf seahorse) is the source of this 2843-nucleotide RNA transcript. It is a transcript of the gene named striatin interacting protein 1, with no coding region annotated. The transcript has 20 exons. NCBI's taxonomy places the organism in Eukaryota, Metazoa, Chordata, Actinopteri, Syngnathiformes, Syngnathidae. The record is from RefSeq and is a predicted model, not a curated record.